CUCAUGGCCCUUAUGCCCAGGGCUACACACGUGCUACAAUGGCGGUACAAAGGGUAGCGAUGCCGCGAGGUGAAGCCAAUCCCAAAAAGCCGUCCACAGUUCGGAUUGGAGUCUGCAACUCGACUCCAUGAAGCCGGAAUCGCUAGUAAUCGUGGAUCAGCAUGCCACGGUGAAUUACGGUUCCCGGGCCUU
RNAcentral lists this ribosomal RNA (192 nucleotides) under uncultured Desulfobacterium sp. Its description in RNAcentral is "partial 16S ribosomal RNA". It matches the Rfam family "Bacterial small subunit ribosomal RNA", at positions 1192 to 1382 of the family's 1533-position model. Lineage: Bacteria; Pseudomonadati; Thermodesulfobacteriota; Desulfobacteria; Desulfobacterales; Desulfobacteriaceae. The record is from RNAcentral.